GACUCUCCGACUUUUUAUAGUUUGAGAGCAGUCUACAUUUAAAAGCUGUUUGUGCAGAUCAGCUUGAGGUGGUGCUGACGGCGUUUCUGUCACUUGCUGAAAUGAAUGACGGGCAGACAUGAUGUCACCUGAAAGUCAUAGAGUGUGGCAGGAAAAAUAAUAUGGCCAUGAGGAGCAAGAACAAAAUUAAACACCAGCUGAAGAGUGGGUAUAAGCCCGGCCGUCCCACAAACCAUACACAAUGUGGCUGCGGAUGGGUAGGCUAGAGGGCUCUCAGGCUACUGGGAUUCAGAUACAAAUGACGCAAUCAAAGGCACUUCCUUUUCAGAGGAUGGCCAAUCCGAAGGACAAGCCACCAAUGUGGCGGGCAAGCUGAGCCUGGCAGAAACGUGUUUUCCGUAGAGGCAUAUAACAAGUCACGACAGCCAGUUGCAAUGAAUAAUCUGAAGUAAACUCACUCCUACCUGCCACACCUGGGAGGGUCCCAAAAGCACAGUCCAAGAGCAAUUCCGGAUGUAGAAGAAACUGAGGACACUUGUCUUGUUUUUCCGGAGUUUUCUCACAAGCACCCAGAGAUCUCACAGGGCUCCGUUCUUGGACUGCACUCUGACAGGCGUCUCAGCAAGGGCCGAGGGCCACUGCCUUGCUAUGGGGAGCACUGCCUUGCUAUGGGGAGCACUGCCUUGCUAUGGGGAGCACUGCCUUGCUGUGGGGAGCACUGCCUUGCUGUGGGGAGCACUGCCUUGCUGUGGGGAGGACUGCCUUGCUGUGGGGACGACUGCCUUGCUAGGGGGAGCAUGCCUUGCUAGGGGGAGCAUGCCUUGCUGUGGGGAGCACUGCCUUGCUGUGGGGAGCACUGCCUUGCUAUGGGGAGCAUGCCUUGCUGUGGGGACCACUGCCUUGCUGUGGGGAGCACUGUCUUGCUGUGGGGAGCACUGCCUUGCUGUGGGGAGCACUGCCUUGCUGUGGGGAGCACUGACUUGCUGUGGGGAGCACGCCCUUCCUGAGGCUAGCAGUCACUGAUCAUUGUUAACACAAGGGGUUGUGAGGAUGCUAUCCACAGAUCUUCUGACACUGUCAAACCAAGUGAAACAUUCCACAUGAACUUCGUUGUUUCGGAAAAAACAAAACAAAACAAAACAAAACAAAACAAAAAAACACCACCAGUUAACUGACUGCAAACAGAUGCUGUGAGGGCUGAAAGACCAGACCUGAUCUGGUUUGGAAUACUUAAUGAGAAAGUAAGUGACCUUCGUCUAUGCUUCUCAAAGACAGUCGAGGAAUAUCAAAUGUCCUUCAUUUCAGUCUGAUUUUAGUCCGUUAGUUGGCAAAGUGUCUUUAGCUUGAUAUGAAUAUAAUUGGUUCAAUUGUCAAUUACAUUAGGCUUAAAAGUGUGUUCCAAGUACAAGAUCACAUUGCAUACUCCUUGUAGUUUUGUAAAAAACAAAAACAAAAAAACAACAAAAAAACCUUUAAUUUGAACAACUCCGUUGGAUUAUAAUAUUGAAAAAAACUACUUAGCACAAAAAUUGCCUUUACGGUAGCUAACGUUUCCAGUUAAUAAGGUUCCCUGGCAGGGUCAGAAAGCAUGAUUAGUCUCUGAAACAGGCUAGCGACUUUUAUUAUGAAGUGUUAUUAUUACAAUUUUUGUUAAAUAGUUUUUAUAUUCUGAGCCAGAAAAGUAAGUAGUUCUAUUGUAAACAUUUUAUACUUAUUUUUGUCUGGUAGUUCCUGUUUCAAAUAAGAAAGGAAAGCGAUAUUUCUCUGAGCCUUGUGCUGUUCAAAACUCAUGAAGUCUGUUGCCUCUGACUACAGAGAUGGAAAACAAACAAACAAACAAAAACUUUUUUCCUUCAGUUUAGAAAGGCAGUCUGCCUUUCUGGACUUCAGUGUUACCGGUGGUUGCACGCCAGGUGUUGCUCUUGGGAAAUGAAGGCAUUGAUUAGCAGAGUUUGGCAUUGGGGGGGCAACGGCAAGGCCCUGAGCUGUUUGCACGUGUGCAGACCACUGUUCAGGUGAGCCCCUCACUGUCAGCUCCCAAGAGGUAGUUUUGCAGAACACGUCACUGGAGAGCAUCCUUUCCAUCAGCCUCCCACCUUGGAAUCCUGGGAUACUGACUGCUUGAAUCUCUUUCCUUACAGUGUAUUUUUCCAGGGUCUUGGGGUUGCCAUUGUUGGUUUGCGUUUAACUAUUAGAUAUCCAUCUCUUUUGGUUUGAAAGAACAAUAUAAUCGGAAAUUAAGCAUCUAGCCAACAAGACAAGGGCGAUCUACCAACACAUUGUUAAUUUCCUUCUAAGAAGUUGUGACAGCAAUAACAAAAGAUAAAAAAUUUCCUCAUUCAUUGACUUGGGGAUAGAAACCACAGAGGCAGCAAAAAUGCAAGGAGACAGGGACAGUGACAGAACAAACCUCUGAUUAUUGAUCAUCACUUUCACCUUGAUUAAGAAUCACCUACACAAUUGGCUAUGCGCUACUCUGCCUGGAUUUCUGAGUGCAUUUCUAGAAAUGAUUAAUUAAAAGAGGAGGGCCCACCAAAAUAUGUGUGAGGCCAUACCACGGACUGGGGGACUGGACUGAUCACAGACAGGAGGCUCUUUUGGUUCUAUUAGGCUAUUAAGGUGCUGUCUUACCUUUGUUUCUUGUUGCUGUGAUAAAAUACCCUGACAGAAGCAAUGUAUGGGAGAAAGGUUUUAACUGACUCCAAGUUCCAGGUGCCAUCCAUCCCUGUGGGGAAGUCACAGCAGCAGGAAGUCGAAGGGGUUAAUGGCAUUGCAUCCACGGUCAAGAGCAGAGGGCAGUGAAUUGAUGCAUACAGGCUAGUGCUCAGAUAGUCUUCCUCACUCUUACACAGCUGAGGAUCCUCUGCCUAUGGAAUGAUGCUGCCUACAGUGGCCAGGUUUUCCUGUCUCAAUUACCAUAAUCAAGGUAAUUCCCACAGACACAUCCUCAGGCCAACCUGGUCCAUACAAUCUCUGUCAUCCUAGGUGAUGGUUGAUUGUGAAAACUUUACAAUGAAAACUAACCACCUCAGGGACAGUAACCCAAAUUGUCCUAAAAGUUCUUUCCAGUUGAGAGCAUUUAAUGGGUACUGAGCUAAUUCUUCAAUUGUACUAAUAAAAAUUGCCACGCUCAUACCUAUGAUUUUGCAUUUAUCUUGAGCUUCUUUU
Molecule: long non-coding RNA, 3168 nt
Organism: Mesocricetus auratus (golden hamster)
Lineage: Eukaryota; Metazoa; Chordata; Mammalia; Rodentia; Cricetidae
Exons: 3
Source: RefSeq, a predicted model, not a curated record